GCAGUCUACGUUGAUGCGGCACCCCUAAUAAGGUGUGGCAUUGUAACGUAUAGACUUGUCAUCGAGACAUUUGGCUGAACUAAAGUCGUUAAGAGUGACGCACCAUAGAGGGUUGUAGUCCCGUGCAUGGUUUGGUUUCAGAUGUUAAGAAUGGCAAAGUCAAAGAGUCGGAUUGUUUGGGAAUGCAAUCCAAAGUAGGUGGUAAACUCCAUCUAAGGCUAAAUAUAACUCCGAGACCGAUAGCAAACAAGUACCGUGAGGGAAAGGUGAAAAGAACUCUGAGAAGAGAUUGAAAAGAACGUGAAACCGUUAAUGGGGAAGCGUACAAUGUAAUCGUAGCACUGUGAUAUUUGUGUUGGACAGUUUCGACUGUUUGGUGCUUAAUUUUACGGUGCGCGCUAGGCUCUAUGCUAAUGUUGUUGUCAGCGUGUUUAGUGGUUCAUCAACGGCUAUUCCUUGAGGAAUGGCUAGGUGGCUGUGAGCACGUGCUGUUAUAGAAUAACGCGGCAUAGAUGUAUGUGCUUGUGUGUUGUGCUGUGUAGGCGUAAAGUUGGCAUUGGUCACCAUGUGUUUGAUGUUGAUGUAGCGUUUAUGCAGUGUGAUACCACGAUGAUCGUCGCACAUAAACUCUUAGCGAGAUAUGACAUUGUUCGACCCUUCCUUGAAACAAAGUGGAAACACAU
RNAcentral lists this ribosomal RNA (683 nucleotides) under Henneguya doneci. RNAcentral describes it as "eukaryotic LSU rRNA". It matches the Rfam family "Eukaryotic large subunit ribosomal RNA", at positions 104 to 675 of the family's 3401-position model. The record is from RNAcentral. Lineage: Eukaryota; Metazoa; Cnidaria; Myxozoa; Bivalvulida; Myxobolidae.